Molecule: ribosomal RNA, 789 nt
Filed under: Methanolinea sp. enrichment culture clone L35A3_26
Lineage: Archaea; Methanobacteriati; Methanobacteriota; Methanomicrobia; Methanomicrobiales; Methanoregulaceae
Description: bacterial SSU rRNA
Rfam family: Archaeal small subunit ribosomal RNA
Source: RNAcentral
ACGGCUCAGUAACACGUGGACAACCUACCCUAAGGAGGGGGGUAACCCCGGGAAACUGGGGAUAAUACCCCAUAGACUAGAGAAGCUGGAAUGCUCUCAAGUCCAAAGGUCCGCCGCCUUAGGAUGGGUCUGCGGUCGAUUAGGUUGUUGUUGGGGUAACAGCCCAACAAGCCCGUGAUCGAUACGGGUUGUGAGAGCAAGAGCCCGGAGAUGGAUUCUGAGACACGAAUCCAGGCCCUACGGGGCGCAGCAGGCGCGAAAACUUUACAAUGCGGGAAACCGUGAUAAGGGAACCCCGAGUGCCCGUAAAUUCGGGCUGUCCAUCAGCGUAAAUAACUGGUGAAGAAAGGGCCGGGCAAGACCGGUGCCAGCCGCCGCGGUAAUACCGGCGGCUCGAGUGGUGGCCACUAUUAUUGGGCUUAAAGCGUCCGUAGCUUGGUUGUUAAGUCUCUUGGGAAAUCUACCGGCUCAACCGGUAGGCGUUCAGGAGAUACUGGCAAUCUAGGGACCGGGAGAGGUGAGAGGUACUCCAGGGGUAGGAGUGAAAUCCUGUAAUCCUUGGGGGACCACCUGUGGCGAAGGCGUCUCACUAGAACGGCUCCGACAGUGAGGGACGAAAGCUGGGGGAGCAAACCGGAUUAGAUACCCGGGUAGUCCCAGCUGUAAACGAUGCGCGUUAGGUGUAUCGGUGACCACGAGUCACCGAGGUGCCGAAGGGAAACCGUGAAACGUGCCGCCUGGGAAGUACGGUCGCAAGGCUGAAACUUAAAGGAAUUGGCGGGGGAGCAC